GUGGGUAACCUGCCCAUAAGACUGGGAUAACUCCGGGAAACCGGGGCUAAUACCGGAUAACAUUUUGAACCGCAUGGUUCGAAAUUGAAAGGCGGCUUCGGCUGUCACUUAUGGAUGGACCCGCGUCGCAUUAGCUAGUUGGUGAGGUAACGGCUCACCAAGGCAACGAUGCGUAGCCGACCUGAGAGGGUGAUCGGCCACACUGGGACUGAGACACGGCCCAGACUCCUACGGGAGGCAGCAGUAGGGAAUCUUCCGCAAUGGACGAAAGUCUGACGGAGCAACGCCGCGUGAGUGAUGAAGGCUUUCGGGUCGUAAAACUCUGUUGUUAGGGAAGAACAAGUGCUAGUUGAAUAAGCUGGCACCUUGACGGUACCUAACCAGAAAGCCACGGCUAACUACGUGCCAGCAGCCGCGGUAAUACGUAGGUGGCAAGCGUUAUCCGGAAUUAUUGGGCGUAAAGCGCGCGCAGGUGGUUUCUUAAGUCUGAUGUGAAAGCC
RNAcentral lists this ribosomal RNA (500 nucleotides) under Bacillus sp. ZXM082. Its description in RNAcentral is "bacterial SSU rRNA". It matches the Rfam family "Bacterial small subunit ribosomal RNA", at positions 117 to 602 of the family's 1533-position model. The record is from RNAcentral. Lineage: Bacteria; Bacillati; Bacillota; Bacilli; Caryophanales; Bacillaceae.